RNAcentral lists this ribosomal RNA (256 nucleotides) under uncultured bacterium. Its description in RNAcentral is "partial 16S ribosomal RNA". It matches the Rfam family "Bacterial small subunit ribosomal RNA", at positions 524 to 776 of the family's 1533-position model. The record is from RNAcentral.
UACAGAGGGUGCGAGCGUUGUUCGGAAUUACUGGGCGUAAAGGGCGCGUAGGCGGCCUUCUAAGUCAGACGUGAAAUCCCCCGGCUUAACCUGGGAACUGCGUCUGAUACUGGAGGGCUUGAGUAUGGGAGAGGGAUGUAGAAUUCCAGGUGUAGCGGUGAAAUGCGCAGAUAGUCAGGAGGAACACCGGUGGCGAAGGCGGGUCUCUGGGCCGAUACUGACGCUGGAGGAGCGAAAGCCGUGGGGAGCGAACAGG